Glycine soja is the source of this 185-nucleotide long non-coding RNA. RefSeq lists it as uncharacterized. NCBI's taxonomy places the organism in Eukaryota, Viridiplantae, Streptophyta, Magnoliopsida, Fabales, Fabaceae. The record is from RefSeq and is a predicted model, not a curated record. The transcript has 3 exons.
GCACUAUGCCAGAAUGCACCAACAUAUGCCUAUCAUUAAUGUGCAACUGUAUACAUAACAGAUAUGUCGGGGUUUAAAUUAUUUGCAUCAUGUGAUUGGAGUCUGUCAUCGGGACAUCAAACCCCAGAAUCUAUUGGUUAAUCCCUAGACUCAUCAAUUAAAAGUAUGUGAUUUUGGGAGUGCAA